This 516-nucleotide ribosomal RNA is filed under the name Triticum aestivum (bread wheat). RNAcentral's name for it is "partial small subunit ribosomal RNA". The record is from RNAcentral. Lineage: Eukaryota; Viridiplantae; Streptophyta; Magnoliopsida; Poales; Poaceae.
CUUAAGUUCCCGUACACCCUCUCUCUCCUCCAGGUACCGCUUCUUCGAGACGAGGUUGGGAGGGACGGAGGAUUAUGUUCUACAGAAAAAAACACACACGAACAUAACGUCGUCGGUACGGUACCUCCGCUACUACUCGUGCUCCCCUUCCGGCGACGAAGUUGGGGCAAUUCGAAUGCACACCCUAAACGAAGCCUUCAACAGGUGCACUCAGUUACCCACGACGAAGUACACCCGUAGGAAAGACACCACAUACAACCUCUCCAAUGUGUGGACUACUACAAAUGUCGAUCCGCGUCCUUGUUCGUCUCCGGCUCCUUCACGUCCGUGCGCGACGACCGGAACCGUCCACAUCCUUGGCACGCUCCUUCCAAGUCGCGCGACGUGUUCAGCCCGGUGCGGGCUUCGCGGCGCGGUUGCGUACACACGCACCAGCCACCCAAUCGGUUCUAGACGUAAGACGCUGAAGCAGAAGUGGUACCUGUGUUUGUUCCUGACUAACCACCAAGAACCAUC